CCUACGGGAGGCAGCAGUAAGGAAUAUUGGACAAUGGGCGCAAGCCUGAUCCAGCCAUGCCGCGUGCAGGAAGACGGCCCUAUGGGUUGUAAACUGCUUUUAUACGGGAAGAAACCCCACUACGUGUAGUGGGCUGACGGUACUGUAAGAAUAAGGAUCGGCUAACUCCGUGCCAGCAGCCGCGGUAAUACGGAGGAUCCAAGCGUUAUCCGGAUUUAUUGGGUUUAAAGGGUGCGUAGGCGGUUUUGUAAGUCAGUGGUGAAAGUUUUCAGCUUAACUGAAAAAUUGCCAUUGAUACUGCAGGACUUGAGUACAGAUGAGGUAGGCGGAAUGUGACAAGUAGCGGUGAAAUGCAUAGAUAUGUCACAGAACACCGAUUGCGAAGGCAGCUUACUAAAGUGUAACUGACGCUGAGGCACGAAAGCGUGGGGAUCAAACAGGAUUAGAUACCCUGGUAGUCCACGCCCUAAACGAUGAUUACUCGAUGUGUGCGAUAAACAGUACGCGUCCAAGCGAAAGCGUUAAGUAAUCCACCUGGGGAGUACGGUCGCAAGAUUGAAACUUAAGGAAUUGACGG
RNAcentral lists this ribosomal RNA (577 nucleotides) under uncultured bacterium. RNAcentral describes it as "bacterial SSU rRNA". It matches the Rfam family "Bacterial small subunit ribosomal RNA", at positions 338 to 916 of the family's 1533-position model. The record is from RNAcentral.